Molecule: unclassified non-coding RNA, 337 nt
Filed under: soil metagenome
Description: partial contains 5.8S ribosomal RNA, internal transcribed spacer 2, and large subunit ribosomal RNA
Rfam family: 5.8S ribosomal RNA (bases 2-121)
Source: RNAcentral
GGAUGAAGAACGCAGUGAAAUGCGAUAAGUAAUGUGAAUUGCAGAAUUCCGUGAAUCAUCGAAUCUUUGAACGCACAUUGCGCCCCCUGGUAUUCCGGGGGGCAUGCCUGUCCGAGCGUCAUUGCAACCUUCAAGCGCGGCUUGUGUGUUGGGUCUCGUCCCCCGUGGACGGGCCCGAAAGGCAGUGGCGGCGUCCCGACAUGGUGCCCGAGCGUAUGGGAAUCCUCUUCCGCUCGAAUCGGCCCAUGCGGCGCUGGUCGUAACCAAAUUUUUUACCGGUUGACCUCGGAUCAGGUAGGGAUACCCGCUGAACUUAAGCAUAUCAAUAAGCGGAGGA